GGGACACGUGGUAUCCUGUCUGAAUAUGGGGGGACCAUCCUCCAAGGCUAAAUACUCCUGACUGACCGAUAGUGAACCAGUACCGUGAGGGAAAGGCGAAAAGAACCCCGGCGAGGGGAGUGAAAAAGAACCUGAAACCGUGUACGUACAAGCAGUGGGAGCCUCUUAAUGGGGUGACUGCGUACCUUUUGUAUAAUGGGUCAGCGACUUAUAUUCUGUAGCAAGGUUAACCGAAUAGGGGAGCCGAAGGGAAACCGAGUCUUAACUGGGCGUUAAGUUGCAGGGUAUAGACCCGAAACCCGGUGAUCUAGCCAUGGGCAGGUUGAAGGUUGGGUAACACUAACUGGAGGACCGAACCGACUAAUGUUGAAAAAUUAGCGGAUGACUUGUGGCUGGGGGUGAAAGGCCAAUCAAACCGGGAGAUAGCUGGUUCUCCCCGAAAGCUAUUUAGGUAGCGCCUCGUGAAUUCAUCUCCGGGGGUAGAGCACUGUUUCGGCAAGGGGGUCAUCCCGACUUACCAACCCGAUGCAAACUGCGAAUACCGGAGAAUGUUAUCACGGGAGACACACGGCGGGUGCUAACGUCCGUCGUGAAGAGGGAAACAACCCAGACCGCCAGCUAAGGUCCCAAAGUCAUGGUUAAGUGGGAAACGAUGUGGGAAGGCCCAGACAGCCAGGAUGUUGGCUUAGAAGCAGCCAUCAUUUAAAGAAAGCGUAAUAGCUCACUGGUCGAGUCGGCCUGCGCGGAAGAUGUAACGGGGCUAAACCAUGCACCGAAGCUGCGGCAGCGACACUAUGUGUUGUUGGGUAGGGGAGCGUUCUGUAAGCCUGUGAAGGUGUACUGUGAGGUAUGCUGGAGGUAUCAGAAGUGCGAAUGCUGACAUAAGUAACGAUAAAGCGGGUGAAAAGCCCGCUCGCCGGAAGACCAAGGGUUCCUGUCCAACGUUAAUCGGGGCAGGGUGAGUCGACCCCUAAGGCGAGGCCGAAAGGCGUAGUCGAUGGGAAACAGGUUAAUAUUCCUGUACUUGGUGUUACUGCGAAGGGGGGACGGAGAAGGCUAUGUUGGCCGGGCGACGGUUGUCCCGGUUUAAGCGUGUAGGCUGGUUUUCCAGGCAAAUCCGGAAAAUCAAGGCUGAGGCGUGAUGACGAGGCACUACGGUGCUGAAGCGACAAAUGCCCUGCUUCCAGGAAAAGCCUCUAAGCAUCAGGUAACAUCAAAUCGUACCCCAAACCGACACAGGUGGUCAGGUAGAGAAUACCAAGGCGCUUGAGAGAACUCGGGUGAAGGAACUAGGCAAAAUGGUGCCGUAACUUCGGGAGAAGGCACGCUGAUAUGUAGGUGAAGCGACUUGCUCGUGGAGCUGAAAUCAGUCGAAGAUACCAGCUGGCUGCAACUGUUUAUUAAAAACACAGCA
Molecule: ribosomal RNA, 1414 nt
Filed under: Escherichia coli
Lineage: Bacteria; Pseudomonadati; Pseudomonadota; Gammaproteobacteria; Enterobacterales; Enterobacteriaceae
Description: partial 23S ribosomal RNA
Rfam family: Bacterial large subunit ribosomal RNA
Source: RNAcentral